RNAcentral lists this ribosomal RNA (749 nucleotides) under Gleimia europaea. Its description in RNAcentral is "bacterial SSU rRNA". It matches the Rfam family "Bacterial small subunit ribosomal RNA", at positions 38 to 780 of the family's 1533-position model. Lineage: Bacteria; Bacillati; Actinomycetota; Actinomycetes; Actinomycetales; Actinomycetaceae. The record is from RNAcentral.
GGCGGCGUGCUUAACACAUGCAAGUCGAACGGGAUCCAAAGGCUUUUUGUUUUUGGUGAGAGUGGCGAACGGGUGAGUAACACGUGAGUAACCUGCCCCCUUCUUUUGGAUAACCGCAUGAAAGUGUGGCUAAUACAGGAUAUUCCAGGCUGGUCGCAUGAUUGGUUUGGGAAAUGGUUUGGUCUGGUGGGGGAUGGGCUCGCGGCCUAUCAGCUUGUUGGUGGGGUGAUGGCCUACCAAGGCGGUGACGGGUAGCCGGCCUGAGAGGGUGGGCGGUCACACUGGGACUGAGAUACGGCCCAGACUCCUACGGGAGGCAGCAGUGGGGGAUUUUGCACAAUGGGCGCAAGCCUGAUGCAGCGACGCCGCGUGAGGGAUGAAGGCCUUCGGGUUGUAAACCUCUUUCGCUGGGUUGAAAGGCCAUGCUUUGGGUGUGGUUGAUUUGAACUGGUAAAGAAGUACCGGCUAACUACGUGCCAGCAGCCGCGGUAAUACGUAGGGUACUAGCGUUGUCCGGAUUUAUUGGGCGUAAAGGGCUUGUAGGUGGUUUGUCGCGUCUGUCGUGAAAUCCUGUGGCUUAACCAUGGGCUUGCGGUGGGUACGCGCAGGCUUGAGUGCGGUAGGGGAGACUGGAAUUCCUGGUGUAGCGGUGGAAUGCGCAGAUAUCAGGAGGAACACCGGUGGCGAAGGCGGGUCUCUGGGCCGUUACUGACACUGAGGAGCGAAAGCGUGGGGAGCGAACAGGAUUA